This 746-nucleotide ribosomal RNA is filed under the name uncultured Flavobacteriia bacterium. RNAcentral's name for it is "bacterial SSU rRNA". It matches the Rfam family "Bacterial small subunit ribosomal RNA", at positions 60 to 795 of the family's 1533-position model. The record is from RNAcentral. Lineage: Bacteria; Pseudomonadati; Bacteroidota; Flavobacteriia.
AGUCGAGGGGUAACAUAGAAAAGCUUGCUUUUCUGAUGACGACCGGCGCACGGGUGCGUAACGCGUAUACAAUCUACCUUAUACAGGGGUAUAGCCUUUAGAAAUGAAGAUUAAUCCCCCAUAGUCUCUUUUAAUGGCAUCAUUUUAAGAGUAAAGGUUACGGUAUAAGAUGAGUAUGCGUUCUAUUAGUUUGUUGGUGAGGUAACGGCUCACCAAGGCUACGAUAGAUAGGGGCCCUGAGAGGGGGAUCCCCCACACUGGUACUGAGACACGGACCAGACUCCUACGGGAGGCAGCAGUGAGGAAUAUUGGACAAUGGGCGCAAGCCUGAUCCAGCCAUGCCGCGUGCAGGAAGACUGCCCUAUGGGUUGUAAACUGCUUUUAUACAGGAAGAAACCUUGGUACGUGUACCAAGCUGACGGUACUGUAAGAAUAAGGAUCGGCUAACUCCGUGCCAGCAGCCGCGGUAAUACGGAGGAUCCAAGCGUUAUCCGGAAUCAUUGGGUUUAAAGGGUGCGCAGGUGGUUUAUUAAGUCAGUGGUGAAAGACGGUCGCUUAACGAUUGCAGUGCCAUUGAUACUGGUAGACUUGAGUGAAUUAGAGGUAGGCGGAAUUGAUAGUGUAGCGGUGAAAUGCAUAGAUAUGACUCAGAACACCGAUUGCGAAGGCAGCUUACUAACAUGUAACUGACGCUGAGGGACGAAAGCGUGGGGAGCGAACAGGAUUAGAUACCCUGGUAGAAGGGC